AAUAAAAGGCCAUCGCCCAAUGGCAAAGUUUCUUUAGUCAACGAAAACAUUUGUUUACGUACAAAAUAAAUAAAAUUUGGGGUCACACUAAAUCAGCAUUUUUGUUUUCUCAUUGGGUCACUGAAGCUUCACAGAGGACACGUAUUCAUUAAAGGUGAUAAUACAAUGUAUUAUCCAAUAUACGUAGAUGAGCAGUCACAGAGCUCAUAAACAGAGGUUUGUGUAAACGCCGUUAUCAUAAACACCGCGCCAAACACCUCAGCCGACGUGUCGCAAACAUUGUCCUGAUGACGCCACACGUGGAUCGGGCUUUCGGAUCCUAGUAUGGUAGCCUUCGGUC
This is a long non-coding RNA of Arabidopsis thaliana (thale cress), 340 nucleotides long. RefSeq annotates it as other RNA. The record is from RefSeq. NCBI's taxonomy places the organism in Eukaryota, Viridiplantae, Streptophyta, Magnoliopsida, Brassicales, Brassicaceae. The transcript has 2 exons.